This 24-nucleotide microRNA is filed under the name Xenopus laevis (African clawed frog). RNAcentral describes it as "Xla-Mir-459-P1_5p (mature (guide))". Lineage: Eukaryota; Metazoa; Chordata; Amphibia; Anura; Pipidae. RNAcentral also lists the same sequence under 1 other name. The record is from RNAcentral.
UCAGUAACAACGAUUCAGCCUUGU